Solea senegalensis (Senegalese sole) is the source of this 716-nucleotide long non-coding RNA. RefSeq lists it as uncharacterized. The transcript is spliced from 5 exons. NCBI's taxonomy places the organism in Eukaryota, Metazoa, Chordata, Actinopteri, Pleuronectiformes, Soleidae. The record is from RefSeq and is a predicted model, not a curated record.
GGAGAAAAGCCUGAGGGCCGUAACGCUGUUGAGAUCCUACCCACAGGAUACUGGUGAGACGCAACCGAGCUGAGAUGGCGGUUCUUGCUCACCUAGGUCCCUAAUUGCCUGAUGACUGGUCCAAAGUUCCACAAGAAGCAAAGUUAUCCCUGAUGUGCUGCUAACCCACCUGCCCUGGACAAGGCCGAGGCUUGGGCCACAAACAGGAAAAGCCCCCCAGGCCACCACAGAGUUGAUGUAACUGCUGGUUCCUCCUUGUGCGAUCAGUUGAAAAAUAAGGACCAUGGAAGGGAGAAUCUCACAGGCUGCAGCAACAGUACUGCAGUUCAUACGUUGUCUCCAGUCCGGAUGUACUAAGCGUGUACAUCCAGGAGUAGUCGGACUGUGAAUCUUAUUAUCCAAGAUCCAUCUACUAGUCCCACCUGUGAUAGGGCUGUGGCAGAGCUGGAGCCAAUCCUCACUGACAACAACAUGUGGUUUACAUGCUGAACAGGAGUGGUCUCGCUGCCCAUUACCAUCCUCCCUGCAUUGAGUCCAGCCUCCUCUUCCAGCUCAGCAUCAGCCCCAACCUGGUUUUUGGCACUCAUAUGGGGCUGGGAGGGCCCGGCGCCCGAGGCAUGACCACCACUGUGGAGCAUCAGUCGCCGCUGAAGCACCGGAUCACCUGACUUCACCUCCAACACCUCUUCAUCCCUGGAGGCUUGCAGCGUACCUGG